GACGUAGGGUCCGAGCGUUGUCCGGAUUUACUGGGCGUAAAGAGCGCGUAGGCGGUCCGUUAAGUGUAGAGUGAAAGCUCCGGGCUCAACCCGGAAAUUGCUCUGCAUACUGGCGGACUCGAGGGUGGCAGAGGUUUGUGGAAUUCCUGGUGUAGCGGUGAAAUGCGUAGAGAUCCGGAAGAACACCGGUGGCGAAGGCGGCCUGCUGGGCUAUGGCUGACACUGAGGCGCGACAGCGUGGGGAGCAAACAGG
This 253-nucleotide ribosomal RNA is filed under the name uncultured bacterium. RNAcentral's name for it is "partial 16S ribosomal RNA". It matches the Rfam family "Bacterial small subunit ribosomal RNA", at positions 524 to 776 of the family's 1533-position model. The record is from RNAcentral.